Molecule: ribosomal RNA, 801 nt
Filed under: Salmonella enterica subsp. enterica serovar Infantis
Lineage: Bacteria; Pseudomonadati; Pseudomonadota; Gammaproteobacteria; Enterobacterales; Enterobacteriaceae
Description: partial 23S ribosomal RNA
Rfam family: Bacterial large subunit ribosomal RNA
Source: RNAcentral
GAUAGGUGGGAGGCUUUGAAGCGUGGACGCCAGUCUGCGUGGAGCCGACCUUGAAAUACCACCCUUUAAUGUUUGAUGUUCUAACGUGGAUCCGUAAUCCGGGUUGCGGACAGUGUCUGGUGGGUAGUUUGACUGGGGCGGUCUCCUCCUAAAGAGUAACGGAGGAGCACGAAGGUUGGCUAAUCCUGGUCGGACAUCAGGAGGUUAGUGCAAUGGCAUAAGCCAGCUUGACUGCGAGCGUGACGGCGCGAGCAGGUGCGAAAGCAGGUCAUAGUGAUCCGGUGGUUCUGAAUGGAAGGGCCAUCGCUCAACGGAUAAAAGGUACUCCGGGGAUAACAGGCUGAUACCGCCCAAGAGUUCAUAUCGACGGCGGUGUUUGGCACCUCGAUGUCGGCUCAUCACAUCCUGGGGCUGAAGUAGGUCCCAAGGGUAUGGCUGUUCGCCAUUUAAAGUGGUACGCGAGCUGGGUUUAGAACGUCGUGAGACAGUUCGGUCCCUAUCUGCCGUGGGCGCUGGAGAACUGAGGGGGGCUGCUCCUAGUACGAGAGGACCGGAGUGGACGCAUCACUGGUGUUCGGGUUGUCAUGCCAAUGGCACUGCCCGGUAGCUAAAUGCGGAAGAGAUAAGUGCUGAAAGCAUCUAAGCACGAAACUUGCCCCGAGAUGAGUUCUCCCUGAGACUUAGAGUCUCCUGAAGGAACGUUGAAGACGACGACGUUGAUAGGCCGGGUGUGUAAGCGCAGCGAUGCGUUGAGCUAACCGGUACUAAUGAACCGUGAGGCUUAACCUUACAACGCCGAAG